AAUGAACGCUGGCGGCGUGCCUAAUACAUGCAAGUCGAGCGAACAGACGAGGAGCUUGCUCCUCUGCCGUUAGCGGCGGACGGGUGAGUAACACGUGGAUAACCUACCUCUAAGACUGGGAUAACUUCGGGAAACCGGAGCUAAUACCGGCUCAUAUAUUGAACCGCAUGGUUCAAUAGUGAAAGACAGUUUUGCUGUCACUUAUAGAUGGAUCCGCGCCGCAUUAGCUAGUUGGUAAGGUAACGGCCUACCAAGGCAACGAUGCGUAGCCGACCUGAGAGGGUGAUCCGCCACACUGGAACUGAGACACGGUCCAGACUCCUACGGGAGGCAGCAGUAGGGAAUCUUCCGCAAAGGGCGAAAGCCUGACGGAGCAACGCCGCGUGAGUGAUGAAGGUCUUCGGAUCGUAAAACUCUGUUAUUAGGGAAGAACAAAUGUGUAAGUAACUAUGCACGUCUUGACGGUACCUAAUCAGAAAGCCACGGCUAACUACGUG
RNAcentral lists this ribosomal RNA (497 nucleotides) under uncultured bacterium. Its description in RNAcentral is "partial 16S ribosomal RNA". It matches the Rfam family "Bacterial small subunit ribosomal RNA", at positions 29 to 507 of the family's 1533-position model. The record is from RNAcentral.